CAAUAGCGUAUAUUAAAGUUGUUGCAGUUAAAAAGCUCGUAGUUGGAUUUCUGGGCUGAGCGACCGGUCCGCCGCUGUGCGGUGUGUACUCGGGUGCGUCUCGGCUCAUCCUUGCAGGGAACGACAUUCGGCCUUAAUUGGUCGAGGUCGGGAAUUGCAUCGUUUACUGUGAAAAAAUUAGAGUGUUUAAAGCAGGCUUAUGCUGUGAAUACAUUAGCAUGGAAUAAUAAGAUAGGACUUUGGUUCUAUUUUGUUGGUUGGAGGCCAAGGUAAUGAUUAAUAGGGAUAGUUGGGGGCAUUCAUAUUCCAAUGUCAGAGGUGAAAUUCUUGGAUUAUCGGAAGAUGAACUUCUGCGAAAGCAUCUGCCAAGGAUGUUUUCAUUGAUCAAGAACGAAAGUUAGGGAUCGAAGACGAUUAGAUACCGU
RNAcentral lists this ribosomal RNA (425 nucleotides) under uncultured eukaryote. Its description in RNAcentral is "bacterial SSU rRNA". It matches the Rfam family "Eukaryotic small subunit ribosomal RNA", at positions 592 to 1018 of the family's 1831-position model. The record is from RNAcentral.